CACCACUCAAGCCUGGCUUGGUAUUGGGCGCCGCGGUUCGUCCGCGCGCCUCAACGUCUCCGGCUGAGCCGUCCGUCUCUAAGCGUUGUGGUAAAACGUCCGCUUGCGAGAUUGGAGGGCGCUGGCCGUUAAACCUCUUUCUACA
RNAcentral lists this unclassified non-coding RNA (145 nucleotides) under uncultured Teratosphaeriaceae. RNAcentral's name for it is "sequence contains ITS2". Lineage: Eukaryota; Fungi; Ascomycota; Dothideomycetes; Mycosphaerellales; Teratosphaeriaceae. The record is from RNAcentral.